Molecule: ribosomal RNA, 497 nt
Filed under: uncultured bacterium
Lineage: Bacteria
Description: partial 16S ribosomal RNA
Rfam family: Bacterial small subunit ribosomal RNA
Source: RNAcentral
GAUGAACGCUGGCGGCGUCCCUAAUACAUGCAAGUCGAGCGAACAGACGAGGAGCUUGCUCCUCUGACGUUAGCGGCGGACGGGUGAGUAACACGUGGAUAACCUACCUAUAAGACUGGGAUAACUUCGGGAAACCGGAGCUAAUACCGGAUAAUAUAUUGAACCGCAUGGUUCAAUAGUGAAAGACGGUUUUGCUGUCACUUAUAGAUGGAUCCGCGCCGCAUUAGCUAGUUGGUAAGGUAACGGCUUACCAAGGCAACGCUGCGUAGCCGACCUGAGAGGGUGAUCGGCCACACUGGAACUGAGACACGGUCCAGACUCCUACGGGAGGCAGCAGUAGGGAAUCUUCCGCAAUGGGCGAAAGCUUGACGGAGCAACGCCGCGUGAGUGAUGAAGGUCUUCGGAUCGUAAAACUCUGUUAUUAGGGAAGAACAAAUGUGUAAGUAACUAUGCACGUCUUGACGGUACCUAAUCAGAAAGCCACGGCUAACUACGUG